Molecule: long non-coding RNA, 5218 nt
Organism: Vicia villosa (hairy vetch)
Lineage: Eukaryota; Viridiplantae; Streptophyta; Magnoliopsida; Fabales; Fabaceae
Exons: 8
Source: RefSeq, a predicted model, not a curated record
AGUAUACAACACAACAACAUUGUUUCGAUUCUCUCCGAUAAUCUUUGUCUUUCUCAAUCUUUGCCAUUCUCAAUCUUUGUCGCUCUCAAUCUUCCUCCGUUCUCUUCUACUUUCUCGAUCUUUAUCAUUCUCAAUCUCUCUUCCGAUGGAUUCACCAAAUCCUGCUAAGAAAAGAAAGAUAGAGUUUUCCCCUUCGGCGCCAAAACCUAAUAAGAUACGAAAGCUUCCGUUUUUGGAUGAGAUUCCUCAAAUGCUCACAUUAUCACCUCGUGAUACUCCCUCACCAAUCAAAAAACGGUUGCAACUCAUGGAUGAAAUUAUUGAACUUGGUGAGAUGCGUUUAGAACUCUAUCGUCUCAUUAACAAAACCCAAGAAGCCAUGGAUGCUCAAAGAAAGAGAAAAGUCACAAUCUUGAUGUCAUUUAGAUAGUAACAACUCAUUCCUUUCAAUUGAUUUUGAGUUUGUGCAUCCUUGAUCAUCCGGCAGGUAUGUUGUUUUAUUUCCCAAUGUUAUUUUGAAUCAGUCAUCAGGUCAGUCAUUACAGGUAAUGUUCUUGUGUUUUCCUCUUUUUGAUUUGCAAGGUGGUUUCAUCUCUUAUGUUGUUGCAUUGCACUGCCUGUUAUUUAACAAUUAAAUUGUCUAUCCCACUCAUUUCUUACAUAACUUCAGGUUGCAAUCAUAGAAAGUAAUUCACUCUAACUCUGUUGGUAACUUCUUCUAUUCUUUUUCCUUUUUCACAGACUUUCCAUAAAGGUCAGUGUCACUCUUUUAUGCUUAUUACAUCAUGUCUUGCUAAUUUACAUCUUUUCUUUAGUCUAAAAUGUUUCUCAUAGUGUCUUUUCAUGUCAUGAAUCUCACUGGAUUGUCAGAGUCUUUGCAGGAAGGUACCACGGGCACAACGUUGAUAUGCUCAUGUCGUGAAUAGAUCAAAAUUAGUCUUCAGGUCAUUACAGAACCAGCUUUGAGGUUACAAAUGAAGGCGUUGACGCAACAGGGCAUUCAGUUGGUACAUCUUCGGAGGCUAAAUCUUCUGCCCAAGCAAACUGGAGGCUAAGAGAUAAGUAGUCAAGCUAAUUAGAGAAUGAGCAUCUGCUUACACACAAUAGUUGGUGUACUAGUUUAUCAGAUAAUUCUUUUUUUUUUUCUAAUUGAUCUUUCAGACAAUAUCUUACUUAGAAUUUUUUCAGACAAUAUCUUACUUGAAUUAGACUUUAGAAUAAACUUACUUUUAAUAUUUAUUGAAUUUAGAAACUUAAAUUUUGAUAAAUGUAUGCAUAAACAGGUCCUAAUGAUGUGGAGUUUAUCAUUAACCAAGCUGAAGUUUCGAUAGAACGGUUAUAUUUUAUGGUUAAUCUUUCUCAAUUAUUAUCAUUUGAUUGUGCAUUGUUGGUUAUAUUUUUUUAUUUCCCAACAUUAUUUUGAAUCCAUAACUAACUUGAUCGUCGGAGGCUUUGCAGGUACCACACCCUUGCUAUGAUCUUGUCAUGAAUAUAUCAAAAUCAGUCUUGAGAUCAUUAAAGGUGAUGUUCUUCUGGUUGCCUCAUUUGACUUGCUUGUGCUCAACAUAAAAUGUGAAACCUUCUUGACUUGUCUUAGGGGCUUUUUGUUGGUCUUCUUGUAGUGAGCUUAAUUACUUUUCAAUGUUUACAUUGUUAAUGUUUUGUGAAUUUUGUAGGAAGAUAACUCGGAAGAGGUCGGUGAAUAUUAAAAUAGUUAUUAUCUAUUAUGCCGUUGAACUUACUGUGAUAGAACAAUUAAAUUGUUUUCCCGCUCAUAUCUUUCAUAUGGUAAUCCAUCAUGUUUCCGUUUAUGUUCUAUAUAAUGCAUACAUGCUAGAGGCAGUAACUGCACAAAUUUUCUGUACUUAAUUGAGUUAUUAUUGAUAAUUUCGUACUGGACCAUGUGAAAUUGUUGAAGAACUUUGCAGUUACUUGAUAUGAUUACAGUUGUAUGACUUGCAAAGUCAUUUUAUUGGGACUUCGGGUAAAGGACAUCCUUCAUAUUUUCUUAAGUGGUUUUCCUUCAAUGUGGUUGCAGGGAUUUGUCAUUGGCUCAGCUCAUUUUAAGGUACCACACCUUUGCUAUGCCAGUGUCAUUGACACGGGAGCCUGCUGGAACAUUGGAAAUGGCAGAGGGUGAAAAUGUUGGGUCACAACUAGUUCCUUCGGGAGAGCCAGCAUUUGAGGUUACAAUUGAAGGCGUUGACGCAACAGGGCAUUCAAUUGGUACAUCUUCGGAGACUAAAGCUUCUGCCCAAGCAAACUGAAAGCUAAGAGAUAAGUAGUCAAGCUAAUUAGAGAAUGAGCAUCUGCUUACACACAAUAGUUGUUGUACUAGUUUAUCAGAUUAUUCAUUUUUUUUUUCUAAUUGAUCUUUCAGACAAUAUCUUAGAAUUUUUUUCAGACAAUAUCUUACUUGAAUUAGCCUUUAGAAUAAAAUAAUAUUAAUGGACACAUUUAUUUCCAUCAAUAUUUUAUUUAUGUUACAUUUGUUGGGUAUAAAAUAAAUUUUGCUUUGAAUUAUGUAAAAUUAUGUAAGAACUCAAUUGAAUUUGCAGGUUGGUUUCUAUCAAUGGGUCACAUUUGAAGAGGCUUAUGAUGCUGUUAUCUGAAUCGGUUCCGCCAUGAAGAGCGGCAGUGUCAGUCCUGUAACUGUUCUUGUUCUAUUAACUUACUAUACUAAAUAUUCAUAAAUUUAUGUAAUUAAUAUAACUAGCUUUUGUUUUUUGUAUCACAAGGGUGACUGUUGUGGCAUAAAUGGAUCCAAUUGUCCGGAUGGAUAUUUGCAAUGGAGGUCCUAAUGCUGUGGAGUUUAUCAUUAACCAGGCUGAAGAUUUGGCAUAAAUCAGUACCAACUCAUUAUUUGUAAGAUAUCUUUGUUUCCCAACUUUCAUGCUUAUUACUUUGGGAGGCAAGAACCAAGUCAUUUUUUGAAAACCAGAAUUUCAUGCCUUCGGUUUUUGCCAACAAUGCUGAAUUUUUUAUCUAAGAAUUCAACAAAGCUAAUGAAAAAGAUGCCCCUUAAGCCUCCCAUGUACCUGCAGCUGCAACUUGGGGGGCUUCUUAAGAAAAUGAAUGUUGAUACAAAGUGAUUCCAUCGCUCCAAAUCUCCCUUGUUUUCAGCUCAUCUAGAAUUCCCUGAAUACUAACACUAUCAGUUUCGUGAUCCUUAAAUUUUGGAUCAAUUUUCUCUUUACUCUCAAUCCUGACUUGUCGUUUAUAUCCCUCAUGCUGAUGAAGUUCUCUGCUGAAACCUUGUUGAUGUAUUAUUUGUGGAUCAUACUCAAUCUGUUGUGCCAUCCCUCUGAGAUGAGGUAGGGCAUGCUCCUGUUGUUGACUUCUUGUUUCCUUGCUUUCCUUCUUCGUAGAAGUUAUGUUGAGCCCCUGUUGUUGAUUUAUAACCUGUUGUGCAUUGUCUUGGAUCUGGUCUGAGUAAUUCCCCUGUUUUUGCAUUCCUGUUGAGUAUGAAUAUUAUUGAUCUGCUGAUGUUGAUUUGUAUGUAGCACUGAGAUUCUCGAAUUCCGGAUCCUGGUGUUAAUUUGUGCCUUGUCGAAUUUUGGAUUCAUGUUGUGUAGUAUGACUAAUGCUCAACUGUUGUUGAUUUCUCUGUAGCACUUCCUCUACCUGCUUACCAACAUCUUUGAUUUUCUCAAAAUCAUGCUCCUGGUAUAGAUUUGUGCCUUGUUUCUCAUUGUAUUCCUGUUACUUAGUAUAACUGAUGGUUUCUUGCUGGUGUUGAGUUAUGCAUGCCACAUCCUCCACCUGUUUUGUAAAAUCUCUACUCAUCUCUAGAAUAUGCUUAUGUUGUUGAUAGGAUUAUUUGUGUUGCUCUCAGCCUCUACCUGGUUUGCAAUGCUUGUGAUCUUCAAUAUAUAUAUAGUAGGCAACAUUGCGCUUCUGUAAUCUGUACUAGCAGCAUAGUGUAAUCUUACAAGUUCUUUACCUAUUUAUUGAUAUACCACAAAAACUAAUUCACAAAAUCAGUGAUUUUUGUUUGAGGAUUCUGCUCUGUAGCAUUUAAUCAAUGGUGAUUAUUAGUAUGUUUCACAAUUCCAAAAUUGCACUUUGGCCUUUUCUACUCAAUUAAUCAUGCUUGUUGUUUUACUCUGCUAGAGGCCUGAUUAAUAUAACUGAAGAUGGAUUUGUGUAAGGUAUGUUUUUAUUAAAACAUAUAAGCCAUUGUUCUAUGGCCUAACCAUUUCCUUGUGAUCCUUUUUGCUGUUUUUGUUCCCAGUCAGAUAAAUUGCACGAAUAUUGUUUUGAGCUAUUUCUAGCACUUUCUUUUUUUAUACUGGUAAGGGUGGUUAUGUGCUUUGAUUUUGUGGAGUCCCAUCACCAAAUUGUGUUUGAUUUUUCUUGAGGAGACUGGCUAGUCCUACAACAACUUCACAAUUACUGGAUAUGAUUACAAAUGGAUUUGUCAUUGCUCCCAGCUUUACUAGUUGACUUAAUAUACCGAUGCUAUGGAUAAUCUUUCUCAAUUAUUAUUUUUUCUAUGCAAUUGUGAACUUAUCAUGAUCUGCUGGAGGAUAUCUAAGGUAGUAUGUUGUUUUAUUUCCCAAAAUAAUUUUGAAUUCAUUACUAACUUGAUCGUCGGAGUCUUUGCAGGUACCACACCUUUUUGCUAUAUGCUAAUGAGUAUGAUCAAACAUAAAGGGAAACCAACAUCUCAAAAAUGUGGUUGGAAAUUUAUGUGCUCCAGUAGAAGAGUGGACAGUUGGUAGAACCGAACUCACCUCACUCAUGGUUGUAGAGAGGAGACAUGUUUGGCUGCAAUCAAUGGAAGUUCCACUGGAUCAAUAUCAUCACCAUCGGCUGGAUUGGGACCUAGCGAAAAUGUGAGCGGAUGUAGUAAAGCUUCUUGGAUGGUGGUUUUGGCUCUCAUUCAUCACUUAUUUGCUGCUCAUGGUUUCACUUUAUGCAUAACAGCAAAAGGUGAAAAUAGGCACUAAUUGGCAAGAGAAAAAAGCUUUCCUGUUAUUUGUUCAGGCUGCACAUGUUAAAAAUUUUAGGAAUAUCAAAUUAGGUGUUACUAUCGAUGUAGAACAGAACUGAUGAUGACAGACCAACUUAUUAUCUAAAAAAGUCCAUUCUUAGUUGUUUUCUUAUGGUUAUUUCCUUUCUAUCAUGCAGCUAUCAGUUUUCUAUACUGCUUUUGAUUUGGGAUGACAUAUAUGUUGGCUUAGGUGUUAGUUCUGGUUAUUGGUUUUAGUUUGCU